This 468-nucleotide ribosomal RNA is filed under the name uncultured bacterium. Its description in RNAcentral is "partial 16S ribosomal RNA". It matches the Rfam family "Bacterial small subunit ribosomal RNA", at positions 28 to 507 of the family's 1533-position model. The record is from RNAcentral.
GACGAACGCUGGCGGCGUGCUUAACACAUGCAAGUCGAACGGUAAACCUCUUCGUAGGUGGGCAGUGCCAAUCGGGAAAGUGACACUUACACGAGCUUACCCCGCCCCUGGGUUAAGUCCAAGAACUUGAGACUAAUACCAAAUGUUCACAGCUUCUCCCGUGGCUUGUGGUGGAAUGGAUUUCUUGCGCGGCUGGGGAUGGGCUCGCGGCUUAUCAGCUUGUUGGUGGGGUAGUGGCCUACCAAGGCGUUGACGGGUAGCCGGCCUGAGAGGGUGACCGGCCACACUGGGACUGAGAUACGGCCCAGACUCCUACGGGAGGCAGCAGUGGGGAAUAUUGCGCAAUGGGCGGAAGCCUGACGCAGCGACGCCGCGUGGGGGAUGACGGCCUUCGGGUUGUAAACCGCUUUCGGCAGUGACGAAGCGCAAGUGACGGUACCGGGAGAAGAAGCACCGGCCAACUACGUG